Molecule: ribosomal RNA, 679 nt
Filed under: Bremia saussureae
Lineage: Eukaryota; Oomycota; Peronosporomycetes; Peronosporales; Peronosporaceae
Description: LSU rRNA
Rfam family: Eukaryotic large subunit ribosomal RNA
Source: RNAcentral
CGGCGAGUGAAGCGGGAUGAGCUCAAGCUUAAAAUCUCCGUGCAAAUUUUGCAUGGCGAAUUGUAGUCUAUAGAGGCGUGAUUAGCGUAGGCACUUGGGGCAAGUUCCUUGGAAGAGGACAGCAUCGAGGGUGAUACUCCCGUUUAUCUCCGAGUUGCUUAUGCGUACAAUCCGUUUUCUUUGAGUCGCGUUGUUUGAGAAUGCAGCGCAAAGUAGGUGGUAAAUUCCAUCUAAAGCUAAAUAUUGGUGCGAGACCGAUAGCAAACAAGUACCGUGAGGGAAAGAUGAAAAGAACUUUGAAAAGAGAGUUAAAGAGUACCUGAAACUGCUGAAAGGGAACCAAAUCGUUUCUAGUGUCUAUAAUCCGUGGUAUAUUUCAUUGGCGAAUGUGUGCGUGCAUGUACUAUGGCAGYGGCUUUUUGCUGCGCCUUGUGCGUGUGUGUGCACUUUCUCGCUGAUGCCCUGUACCGUGGUGGGACGUCAAUGUCGGUUCGUAAAUUGCGGAAAAUGACUGCCGAGGAGGUAGGGCGAACGCUUGCGUUUGUCUGUUAUAUCUUGGCGGACGUAGUAGUCGCGGUUGGGACUGAGGUGCCUACAAUGUGCUUAUGAGUAGAAUUGAUUCUUCGUGUGCGCCGUGUGCGGAUAGCUUGCUAUGCGUGUGUGGCUGUGUGUGGAUUGA